UACGAAGGGGGCUAGCGUUGCUCGGAAUCACUGGGCGUAAAGGGUGCGUAGGCGGGUCUUUAAGUCAGGGGUGAAAUCCUGGAGCUCAACUCCAGAACUGCCUUUGAUACUGAGGAUCUUGAGUCCGGGAGAGGUGAGUGGAACUGCGAGUGUAGAGGUGAAAUUCGUAGAUAUUCGCAAGAACACCAGUGGCGAGGGCGGCUCACUGGCCCGGUACUGACGCUGAGGCACGAAAGCGUGGGGAGCAAACAGG
This 253-nucleotide ribosomal RNA is filed under the name uncultured bacterium. Its description in RNAcentral is "partial 16S ribosomal RNA". It matches the Rfam family "Bacterial small subunit ribosomal RNA", at positions 524 to 776 of the family's 1533-position model. The record is from RNAcentral.